AGAAAUGUGAUAUCACUUAUCAUAUACUUCUGAUACAUUAAACCGGAAAGAGUUUAGCACAUUAUCAGUUUUGGCUGAAAUUAUAAAAUUUGUUGUUUGCAUAUUAUAAAUAGAGUAGCACCAAAAUAAGUCCGUAACUCAAGGUGUAGUGUAGCGCCCAAGAUGCGAUUCUAUCCCAAUCACGUGAUGAAUACAUGACCGGGGCACAAUUGCAUUUCGAGUGCAUAGCAAGGUGGAUAUCAUUACAACAUAUAUACCAUGUACUAAAUAGAUGAGAAUACAAGAUUAAAGGCUUACACUCGCCACAAGCUACAACAUGAAUACAAUAAUUCGUCAAUACAUAGCAAUCAUCAUACAGAAGAGCAGGAUCUGACUACGGAUCAAAUGAACGACAUCCACCCUGCUAAUCUCAGGCUCCCGACCCGAAACCUAUCCCUUGAUCGAAGAAGAAGAACUCCAAAAGCAAACAAGCAUCGCUCUCGCGUCAAAUCAUCGUUUAACCUGUACCUGCAACUGUUGUAGUAAUAAUCUGUGAGCCACGAGGACUCAGCAAUCCCAUUACCAUGGGUAUCAAGACUAGCAAAGCUUAAUGGGUAUGGAAUGGACAAGUGGUGAGGUUGCAGCAGCACUAAGCAUUAUAUGGUGGCUAACUCACGAGUACAAGAAUAAGAUGAGAAACUAAGCAACGGUUGCAAACUAGCAAUGAUCAAGAAGUGAUUCUGAACUACUUACGUUCAAUCAUAACCCUGCCGUGUUCUCUUCUCGAACUCACUCGAAAAGAGACGGUCAUGGUUACACACGUGGUUGGUGUAUUUUAAUUUGGGUCUAGUGUCAAGUUCUCUACAACCGGGUAUUAAAAAUUCCCAUCUGCCACAUAACCGCGGGCACGGCUCUCGAAAGUUUAAACCCUGCAGGGGUGUCCCAACUUAGUCCAUCACAAACUCUCAUGAUCAACGAAGGAAAAUCCUCCUCCCAGAACAACCCGAUCAAGCUUGGAAUCCCAGUUCACAAGACAUUUCAACAAUGGUAAAACAAGUCCAGCAAGACCUCCCGACGUGCCGACACCCUGAUAGUAGCCGCGCGUAUCUCGUCUCAGGCCACGACAGAUGAGCGACGCGUACAUGUGACAAUGCUCUAAUUUGGACCAGCACCAACAGCACUGGCCCCCCUGUAUUAUGUUGAAUAACGUACCUCAGGUAGCGCUAACUCCCUAUGCAUCAAAUUUAUUCUCAAGUUUAUUAUUAUAUUGGGCAAAUGGUAAAACCAAUGUUGGGCCUUGCUAGAGGAGUUUUAUUCAAAGCAAACUGUCAAGGGGGGCCCAUAAACACCGACCGUGUUAGGAACGCAAAAUCAAGGAACAUAACACCGGUAUGACGGAAACUAGGGCGGCAAGAGUGGAACAAAACACCAGGCAAAAGGCCAAGCCUUCCACCCUUUACCAAGUAUAUAGAUGCAUUAAUUAAAUAAGAGAUAUUGUGAUAUCCCAUGAUAUCCAUGUCCCAACAUGCAACAACCUGCAACUAGCAACGCUAUAAGAGGGGCUGAGCAAAGCGGUAACACAGCCAAACAACGGUUUGCUAGGAUGGAAAAGGUUAGAGGCUAUCAUGGCAAUUUGGGAGGCUUGAUAAACAACUAGUAGGUAGCGCGACAUAACGAUAGCAUCGACACAACUAGCAAAGCAAAGAUAGUAGUGAUAUCCAGGGUAACGGUCAUCUUGCCUGAAAUCCCGCUCAGAAGAAGAACGAGUCCAUGAAGUAGACGAACCAAUGUAGUCGAACAAAUCCUCACAAUCGCAAUGUUACCGGAACUAUCAAGAAGAAGCGACACCGGAAAGAAGCAAACAACAUGGUAAACAAAAAAGAAAAAUCAUGGCAUGAUGCACAAACAAGUAUGAUGCAUGUCCGGUUUAAAUAGGCAUGGCAUGGCAAAGUGCAACAAACAAUACUACAAAUUAAGUGGAGCUCAAUAUUUGCAUAUUGACGGAACUUCACAACAGUUAUUUAGUUCUCUCCCGUUUAAGCUACUCGUCAACAUUAAAUGUUGGUUAACAUGGCAAGAGGUGAAGCAUAAUUAAAACGACCUAUCUAGGCAAUUUAAAUGAGGCCGGAAACAACAAAUAACAAUUCUGGAAAAUCCCCAUAUAUAAUUUCGAAUUUUCUACUGUUUUGCCCUAUACAAAAUUUUAGAGUUGUUAGAGAUUCAAAGUAAGUGCACCAUGUUAAUCUAUGCAUUUUUCUACCCCAUUUACAUAUAAAGAACAUUUAAUUUGGAGAUAUGGUUAUUUAGUUAUGAAAUAAACCAUUUUAGCAUGACAAUUAUGCAAAUUAAUGCAAACAUCAAUUUAAAGGUUUUUAGCAUGCAUGAGGAUGACAUAUUCAAGUUGAUGCAAUUUUAUGAAAUUGUUAGUAUAAUAUGAUAUGAGGCAUUUGUCGCCAUGGCAGAAGGAAAAGGGUGCCACGGCGGCGAAACAGAAAUGGUGCCACGACGGUGAAAAUGGAAAUGGUGCCACGGCAACAUUCCGAUGAUCCGACAACUCAUUGAGAUGCUGGUGCAAAAGAGCAAGUGUGUGGAUGUGCGGAACAUGCUAGAGAUGGUGGGGUGAUCCUGGUAACCGGGUUCCCACGGGUCGAUGCAUAGCAAAUGAGGAGGACCGUGCAAUGACAAAUCGGACACGGUGCAAACACAAGCAUCUCAUACAACACACAUGCAUUCGUCCACGGGCGUUGUCUCGGGGUUAUACCUUUGAAGCGUGCAAGUUUCUGAACGGAUCAAGUUCGUUGAGGGAAGUAGUGGUACAUGACGACGGUAGAGGUGCUCGCGAUAUUGGCGACGGUAGUGGUACACGUUUUCUUGUCGAAAUCACGGAGGGGGUAGUCGUUCACUCGACGGCCUCCGGCGACGGUAGUCGUACACGAUUCAUAGACGUUCGAGUCAUCGAUAGACGAACUUGGCGAUCCAUGUAGUCAAACUUGGCGCAUCCGAAGGGUACUUGGUGAAUCCCCAUAGUCGUACACGGAUCGACCGUAGUGGAACUUGAUGCAUCGCCGUGUGUAUUAGUACUCGGUGUUACAUGUAGUCGAACUUGAGGUGGUCUUGGCGUCGGACUUGCGGAGUUGGACAGAAUCAUGGUGAGGUUCAGCUGCUACCCCAUGUAAGACAAAAACGAACCUCGGGAAGGAAGUUGAAGCAGCAAGCAGGGGCGUGGCGGCUGUUGUGGUGGCUUGCAAGCAGCGGCCAUGGAACUCUGUCGGUUGGCCACUGGAGGCUUGGACUCAAGCCUCUGCUCAAGCACGAGGUUGAGCGGGCAAGGUGCACAGGAGAAGGAGGCCAUACGAUGUGGUGGAGGCGAGAGAGAGAGACUACAGCAGGCUCCGGUGAGGCAGGGAACUCCGGCGAGACGACGAGGACCACAAGCGCAGGGAACAGGGGUGCCAUGGGGAUCGGGCGCAAGGUGGAGGGAGGCCAAGGCAUGGCACUGGCGUGGGGAGCUCCUCCCUAGUGUGAUGCGUGUGUGUGUGGCGGCGGUGUGGGAGGAUGAGAGGGAG
This 3545-nucleotide long non-coding RNA is filed under the name Triticum aestivum (bread wheat). RNAcentral describes it as "long non-coding RNA (TAES_LNC004354)". Lineage: Eukaryota; Viridiplantae; Streptophyta; Magnoliopsida; Poales; Poaceae. The record is from RNAcentral.